AACGAACGCUGGCGGCAUGCCUAACACAUGCAAGUCGAACGAGAUCUUCGGGUCUAGUGGCGCACGGGUGCGUAACGCGUGGGAAUUUGCCUCGGGGUAUGGAAUAACUCAGGGAAACUUGAGCUAAUACCAUAUAAUGUCUUCGGACCAAAGAUUUAUCGCCCUGAGAUAAGCCCGCGUAGGAUUAGCUAGUUGGUGGGGUAAAGGCUCACCAAGGCGACGAUCAGUAGCUGGUCUGAGAGGACGACCAGCCACACUGGAACUGAGACACGGUCCAGACUCCUACGGGAGGCAGCAGUGGGGAAUAUUGGACAAUGGGCGAAAGCCUGAUCCAGCCAUGCCGCGUGUGUGAAGAAGGUCUUCGGAUUGUAAAGCUCUUUUACUCGGGACGAUAAUGACGGUACCGAGAGAAUAAGCCCCGGCCUAACUCCGUGCCAGCAGCCGCGGUAAAGUGACUACUG
Molecule: ribosomal RNA, 461 nt
Filed under: uncultured bacterium
Lineage: Bacteria
Description: bacterial SSU rRNA
Rfam family: Bacterial small subunit ribosomal RNA
Source: RNAcentral